UACGGAGGAUGCAAGCGUUAUCCGGAAUUAUUGGGCGUAAAGCGUCCGCAGGUGGCACUUCAAGUCUGUCGUCAAAGACCGGGGCUUAACCCUGGAAAGGCGAUGGAAACUGAAAGGCUAGAGAGAGGUAGGGGUAGAGGGAAUUCCCAGUGUAGCGGUGAAAUGCGUAGAGAUUGGGAAGAACAUCGGAGGCGAAAGCGCUCUACUGGACCUCAUCUGACACUCAGGGACGAAAGCUAGGGGAGCGAAUGGG
Molecule: ribosomal RNA, 253 nt
Filed under: uncultured bacterium
Lineage: Bacteria
Description: partial 16S ribosomal RNA
Rfam family: Bacterial small subunit ribosomal RNA
Source: RNAcentral